CCAGUAAAUCUGAAUGUUCUCUGCUUUGUUUUCCUUAGGUUUGUGGUUAAUCCAUCUUCUUGUCAGCCCUGAAGAAGCUCCUGGUACAUGGCAGUUCUCCUGUCAGGAGGGAGCCCCAGCCCCGGCGGGACGCUGCCGUGUGUCAGACCACACCAGGAGAAGCCGUCGGAUCCCUCUCCCCGCCAGGCCCAUGGCAGUCAGUGGAGCUCGGGGGGCUGCAGCCCGGGACACCGUGUCUGCACACAGGUACCUGCUGACUCUUGCUGGGACUCCUGUGCUGUCAGUGCUGAUCCCACCCAGCUGCUGGAAGCUGUCGCUGUGUGUUCCCAGCUCCCAGGAAAGGGCAGAGCCUGGCGCUGUGGCUCCCGUGCUGCGGUUUGCAGACCCCGUCUGUCACCCAACAGUGGAUGCUGGAUUGCAAGGAAGCACCCUGCUAAUUGAAACUUGUCCAGAAGCUGGUGGUUCUCAUCCUUCUCACUAAAAGACUUUUUUUUUUUUCGUGAAAUAUGGUCUAUCAUUUGGCAUUGAGAAGCAGAAAAAAAAUCCCUGUUGUACUUGGAGGAUGUUUGAGCAUUUACACUGGAAUACCAAUGGGAAAAGGGACACAUUAACAAUAACAAUUUCCUGAGCAAAUCUCCUCCAAAGAGAACUGAUUGGAGGCUAAAAAUGGGCAAGUGCUCAGGUAUUUUUAUGACUUUUAUUUGCCAUAUGAGAGAAUGAAAAGCCCUUGGACUGUGGGUCUGUGCAGGAAAGCGGAUGAAGUGUUUUCCUUUUUUCUAUGCUUAAUGGCAUUAUUGGGCUAUUUAGCAUGAGCACAAGAAUGUUAAAGGGCUGAAUUAUUGGUAUGAGUCUGUGUCGCCCGCCCGGGGUACCCGGCUGCUGGAGGGCACUGCCGAGGAAGCGGUCAGAGAGAUUCAGAACAGGAUUAUGUGUUUAUAUGAAUGGGAGAAGCGUCUGCGGGCACGCGGAGAGGGUGGAGGAAUUAGGAGUAAUCACCGCACGCUAAUCACCAGCUGGGCAGGGGAGGAAGCCCCUCACCGCCUCCUUGGCACCGCGUGGCACUUUUGGUUGGGGACAGUGCUGAAGGGACAAAAGAAUCAUCAAUUCCCCGUCACUCUCCGAGGCCAGACGCCUGCUCCGGACUGGGAAUGCCUCCCGUCACACCACGCAGCAUAUGCCCACCACAGCUCCUCAGCCUCACCGCUCCCGACUGCGUCCCGUCCCACCCAGCUGCGUGAAGCUUAAUCUUUAAUUGAGGAUUGCCAUCCAUCAUAUAUAUUUAAUCUGAUUUCUCUCUGCAAAUUUUAAAUAAUUAACGGGCCUUUGUUAUAUAAGGAAGGCUGUUAUAAAUCAUGGGGGCUGCACCUAGAGAUUUUUGAUGGUAGCAUGCUCAAAUGAAUUCCGUCUCUCCGGGGCAAUCUGUUUCUCUAAACACCAUUCUGGAGAGGAAUGAUGCGUGGAAGAGUCAUGAGGAAAUGAAG
RNAcentral lists this long non-coding RNA (1481 nucleotides) under Calidris pugnax (ruff). RNAcentral's name for it is "lncRNA (ENSCPUG00000012980.1)". Lineage: Eukaryota; Metazoa; Chordata; Aves; Charadriiformes; Scolopacidae. The record is from RNAcentral.